CCUACGGGUGGCAGCAGUGGGGAAUAUUGGGCAAUGGGCGCAAGCCUGACCCAGCAACGUCGCGUGAAGGAAGAAGGCUUUCGGGAUGUAAACUUCUUUUAUGAGGGACGAAGAAAGUGACGGUACCUCACGAAUAAGCCACGGCUAACUACGUGCCAGCAGCCGCGGUAAUACGUAGGUGGCAAGCGUUAUCCGGAUUUAUUGGGUGUAAAGGGAGUGUAGGCGGGAAAGCAAGUCAGAUGUGAAAACUCAGGGCUCAACCCUGGGCCUGCAUUUGAAACUGUGUUUCUUGAGUGCUGGAGAGGUAAGCGGAAUUCCGGGUGUAGCGGUGAAAUGCGUAGAUAUACGGAGGAACACCGGUGGCGAAGGCGGAUUGCUGGACAGUAACUGACGCUGAGGCGCGAAAGCGUGGGGAGCAAACAGGAUUAGAUACCCUAGUAGUC
RNAcentral lists this ribosomal RNA (443 nucleotides) under uncultured bacterium. Its description in RNAcentral is "partial 16S ribosomal RNA". It matches the Rfam family "Bacterial small subunit ribosomal RNA", at positions 338 to 795 of the family's 1533-position model. The record is from RNAcentral.